This 2201-nucleotide long non-coding RNA is filed under the name Homo sapiens (human). Its description in RNAcentral is "long non-coding RNA NONHSAT181513.1". Lineage: Eukaryota; Metazoa; Chordata; Mammalia; Primates; Hominidae. The record is from RNAcentral.
CAGAUCACAGAACAUGCCCAGAGCCUUGUGUUGGAUACUCUCUGUUGGUUAGCUGGAGUUCAUUCAAAUGGACCCGGAAGCUCAAAGGAAGGAAAUGAGAACCUACUUUCAAAAACACGAAAAUUUCUGUCAGACAUCGUACGUGUUUGCUUCUUUGAGGCAGGACGAAGUAUAGCCCAUAAGUGUGCCCGAUUUCUAGCCUUGUGCAUUAGUAAUGGCAAAUGUGACCCAUGUCAACCAGCAUUUGGACCUGUUCUGUUGAAGGCUUUACUUGAUAAUAUGUCAUUUUUACCUGCAGCAACAACUGGUGGUUCUGUCUAUUGGUAUUUUGUCUUACUGAAUUAUGUGAAAGAUGAAGAUCUGGCUGGAUGCAGUACAGCUUGUGCAUCUUUGCUUACUGCAGUGUCCAGACAGUUACAGGACAGGCUAACACCAAUGGAGGCUUUACUUCAGACAAGAUAUGGAUUAUAUAGCUCACCAUUUGAUCCAGUCCUCUUUGAUUUGGAGAUGAGUGGCUCUUCUUGUAAAAAUGUUUAUAACAGCAGCAUUGGUGUCCAGUCAGAUGAAAUUGAUUUAUCAGAUGUCCUUUCAGGAAAUGGAAAGGUCAGUAGUUGCACAGCUGCUGAGGGUAGUUUCACAUCUCUCACUGGACUUUUGGAAGUUGAACCUCUGCACUUUACUUGUGUGUCAACUAGUGAUGGAACCAGAAUAGAAAGGGAUGAUGCAAGUACGUUUACUGUGAGUUCCUUCGGGGUUACUCCUGCAGUAGGUGGACUAUCAUCUGGGACAGUUGGGGAAGCCUCGACAGCCCUGAGUUCAGCAGCCCAGGUAGCUUUGCAGUCUCUCUCUCAUGCAAUGGCUUCAGCCGAGCAACAGCUACAGGUGCUGCAAGAGAAACAGCAGCAGCUUUUGAAGCUUCAGCAACAGAAAGCAAAGCUGGAAGCCAAGUUACAUCAGACAACAGCUGCAGCAGCUGCAGCAGCAUCAGCAGUAGGUCCUGUUCACAACUCUGUGCCUUCCAACCCAGUGGCUGCCCCUGGAUUCUUCAUUCAUCCAUCUGAUGUUAUUCCACCCACUCCAAAAACAACACCUCUUUUUAUGACUCCACCACUCACUCCACCCAAUGAAGCAGUUUCCGUUGUGAUUAAUGCCGAACUUGCACAGCUUUUCCCAGGCUCAGUCAUUGAUCCCCCAGCAGUCAAUCUUGCUGCACAUAACAAAAAUUCCAACAAGUCCAGAAUGAAUCCACUUGGUUCUGGUCUAGCCCUUGCAAUUUCUCAUGCUUCACAUUUUCUUCAACCUCCGCCUCACCAGUCCAUUAUUAUAGAGCGAAUGCAUUCAGGAGCAAGAAGAUUUGUGACCUUGGAUUUUGGGAGGCCUAUAUUGUUGACUGAUGUAUUGAUUCCCACUUGUGGAGACUUGGCCUCUUUGUCAAUUGACAUUUGGACAUUAGGAGAAGAGGUGGAUGGAAGGCGGUUGGUAGUGGCAACUGAUAUAAGCACUCAUUCACUAAUUCUUCAUGACUUAAUACCACCUCCCGUGUGCAGAUUCAUGAAGAUCACUGUUAUUGGACGUUACGGGAGUACAAAUGCCAGAGCCAAAAUCCCAUUAGGAUUUUACUAUGGUCAUACCUACAUCUUGCCUUGGGAAAGUGAACUGAAGUUAAUGCAUGAUCCUCUAAAGGGAGAGGGAGAAUCUGCAAACCAGCCAGAAAUUGACCAGCAUUUAGCAAUGAUGGUUGCUUUGCAGGAGGAUAUACAGUGCAGGUAUAACUUGGCUUGUCAUCGUCUGGAAACCCUUUUGCAAAGUAUUGAUCUUCCUCCUCUAAACAGUGCUAACAAUGCACAGUACUUUUUACGAAAACCAGAUAAGGCAGUUGAGGAAGACAGUAGGGUUUUUUCUGCUUAUCAAGAUUGUAUUCAGCUACAGCUUCAACUAAAUUUGGCUCAUAAUGCAGUGCAGAGGCUCAAAGUGGCGCUAGGUGCAAGCCGGAAGAUGUUGAGUGAAACAUCAAAUCCAGAAGAUUUAAUUCAGACAUCUUCCACAGAGCAGUUACGUACUAUCAUCAGAUAUUUACUGGACACUUUGCUCAGCCUGCUUCAUGCUUCUAAUGGACACUCUGUUCCUGCAGUUUUGCAGAGCACAUUUCAUGCCCAGGCCUGUGAAGAGCUCUUUAAACACUUGUGCAUCAGUGGAACCCC